GAUGAAGAACGCAGCGAAAUGCGAUAAUUAAUGUGAAUUGCAGAAUUUAGUGAAUCAUCGAAUCUUUGAACGCACAUUGCGCCCCUUGGUAUUCCGGGGGGCAUGCCUGUUCGAGCGUCAUUGCUGCCCUCAAGCCCGGCUUGUGUGUUGGGUCUCGUCCCCCUUCCCGGGGGGACGGGCCCGAAAGGCAGCGGCGGCACCGUGUCCGGUCCUCGAGCGUAUGGGGCUUUGUCACCCGCUCUGUAGGCCCGGCCGGCGCUUGCCGAUCAACCAAAACUUUUUUCCAGGUUGACCUCGGAUCAGGUAGGGAUACCCGCUGAACUUAAGCAUAUCAAUAAGCGGAGGA
RNAcentral lists this unclassified non-coding RNA (346 nucleotides) under soil metagenome. RNAcentral's name for it is "partial contains 5.8S ribosomal RNA, internal transcribed spacer 2, and large subunit ribosomal RNA". The stretch from base 1 to 120 matches the Rfam family "5.8S ribosomal RNA", at positions 35 to 154 of the family's 154-position model. The record is from RNAcentral.